Molecule: transfer RNA, 74 nt
Filed under: Candidatus Woesearchaeota archaeon
Lineage: Archaea; Nanobdellati; Candidatus Woesearchaeota
Also listed under: 2 other names
Description: tRNA-Pro
Rfam family: tRNA
About the family: Transfer RNA (tRNA) molecules are approximately 80 nucleotides in length. Their secondary structure includes four short double-helical elements and three loops (D, anti-codon, and T loops). Further hydrogen bonds mediate the characteristic L-shaped molecular structure. tRNAs have two regions of fundamental functional importance: the anti-codon, which is responsible for specific mRNA codon recognition, and the 3' end, to which the tRNAs corresponding amino acid is attached (by aminoacyl-tRNA synthetases). tRNAs cope with the degeneracy of the genetic code in two manners: having more than one tRNA (with a specific anti-codon) for a particular amino acid; and 'wobble' base-pairing, i.e. permitting non-standard base-pairing at the 3rd anti-codon position.
Source: RNAcentral
GGGGAUAUGGUCUAACUUGGUUAUGAUGCGUGGUUUGGGACCACGUUGUCCCGGUUCAAAUCCGGGUAUCCCCA